Durio zibethinus is the source of this 781-nucleotide non-coding RNA. Lineage: Eukaryota; Viridiplantae; Streptophyta; Magnoliopsida; Malvales; Malvaceae. The record is from RefSeq and is a predicted model, not a curated record.
AAAAAAACCGUUUACUUUUUUUUUUCCCCUCUCUUCACUCCCCUAAAAACCACACCAACCCUUUCAGUUUCUGUGUCUCCCAUUUCUAUAACCAUGGAGAUCCAAGAAAAGCUGCUAAAGUUGAAGUACCCCAUAAUCAUCACCCUCACUCUUUCAAUUACCCUUACUUCCCUCGUCGUUUUUGCGCCUUCUUUCCUCACCAUUUUAACCUACUUUUGGCCUCUUUUGCUCUCCACUGCUCUCUUCCUUGUUGCUGUUAUCUUCUUUGGCAAGACCUCUGCUCAUCCUGCCGGCUCUGACUCUCCGGCGGACAAGGCCGGUGAAGGCAUCCUUAACUAUGUUGCCGCCGGCCAAACCCAACUCACCGUUGACAGUUACAACAAGGCUGAGUAGGAGUUGCAACUCGUUAUCACUGGUUUGAAAGGUUCUUUUCUUAGGAGCAUUUUCAUCAUCUGUUAAGGUUAGAGAGCUUGCAGCCAUUGCCAACUUUGCCAACUUUGCCAACUUCGCCUGCUUUGCAGCAUUGGAGGCCAUUUGAGUUGAAGUGAUCCAGCAAUAAGACCUACCUGCUAGAAGCAUUACAACAUAGAAUUUCAUCAAUUUUAACAUCCUUUUUAAACAUUUAAAUAAAUUUGUAGAGCUAGAAACUAAAUAUAUAUAUAUAUAUAUGUGUGUGUGUGUGUGUGUGUGUGUGUGUGUGUGUGUGUGUCGAAACUAUCCCAAGUCCACAUGUUUGAUCUUAAAAGAUAAUUGAAAUCUACAUAUUUGUGUUUGUGCUGCA